This 253-nucleotide ribosomal RNA is filed under the name uncultured bacterium. Its description in RNAcentral is "partial 16S ribosomal RNA". It matches the Rfam family "Bacterial small subunit ribosomal RNA", at positions 524 to 776 of the family's 1533-position model. The record is from RNAcentral.
UACGUAGGUGGCAAGCGUUAUCCGGAAUUAUUGGGCGUAAAGCGCGCUCAGGCGGUUUCUUAAGUCUGAUGUGAAAGCCCACGGCUCAACCGUGGAGGGUCAUUGGAAACUGGGGAACUUGAGUGCAGAAGAGAAAAGCGGAAUUCCACGUGUAGCGGUGAAAUGCGUAGAGAUGUGGAGGAACACCAGUGGCGAAGGCGGCUUUUUGGUCUGUAACUGACGCUGAGGCGCGAAAGCGUGGGGAGCAAACAGG